RNAcentral lists this ribosomal RNA (376 nucleotides) under uncultured bacterium. RNAcentral describes it as "bacterial SSU rRNA". It matches the Rfam family "Bacterial small subunit ribosomal RNA", at positions 28 to 404 of the family's 1533-position model. The record is from RNAcentral.
GAUGAACGCUAGCGGCAGGCUUAAUACAUGCAAGUCGAACGGUAAGUUUGGUAGCAAUAUCAAACCAAGAGUGACGUACGGGUGCGUAACACGUAUGCAACCUACCUUGUACAGGAGUAUAGCUCGGGGAAACUCGAAUUAACCCUCCAUGAGAUCACAGUGUGGCAUCACACAGUGAUUAAAACUCAGGUGGUACAAGAUGGGCAUGCGUCUGAUUAGAGUUGGCGGGGUAAUGGCCCACCAAGACGAUGAUCAGUAGGGGACCUGAGAGGUGAUCCCCCANACUGGCACUGAGAUACGGGCCAGACUCCUACGGGAGGCAGCAGUAGGGAAUAUUGGUCAAUGGAUGCAAGUCUGAACCAGCCAUGCCGCGUGC